This 403-nucleotide ribosomal RNA is filed under the name uncultured bacterium. RNAcentral describes it as "partial 16S ribosomal RNA". It matches the Rfam family "Bacterial small subunit ribosomal RNA", at positions 30 to 526 of the family's 1533-position model. The record is from RNAcentral.
AUUGAACGCUGGCGGCAGGCCUAACACAUGCAAGUCGAGCGAGCGUCGGACGGGGGAGAAAUGUAUGGGGACUGCCCGCGAGAGGGGGGUAACUACUGGAAACGGUAGCUAAUACCCCAUACUAUCGGAUAACCCAUAUGGGAUUAGCGAGUAGGUGGGGGAAUGGCUCACCUAGGCGACGAUCCCUAGCUGGUCUGAGAGGAUGAUCAGCCACACUGGAACUGAGACACGGCCCAGACUCCUACGGAGGCAGCAGUGGGGAAUAUUGCACAAUGGGCGCAAGCCUGAUGCAGCCAUGCCGCGUGUAUGAAGAAGGCCCUAGGGUUGUAAAGUACUUUCAGUCGGGAGGCGUUACCGACAGAAGAAGCACCGGCUAACUCCGUGCCAGCAGCCGCGGUAAUUC